Mus musculus (house mouse) is the source of this 1803-nucleotide long non-coding RNA. RefSeq annotates it as predicted gene, 40873. The record is from RefSeq and is a predicted model, not a curated record. Lineage: Eukaryota; Metazoa; Chordata; Mammalia; Rodentia; Muridae. The transcript is spliced from 2 exons.
AGCAAGCCAUAGGGAACAAGCCAGUAAGCAGCAUCCCUCCAUGACCUCUGCAGCAGCUCUAGCAUCUAGGUUCCCACCAUAUUUGAAUUUCUUCCCUGGCUUCUUCAUUGAUGGGCUGUAAUGUGGAAAUGUAAGCUUCUCCAAGUUGCUUUUGGUCAUGGUGUUUCAUCACAAAGUAGUGACCUUAAGGAAGACACAAUGUGAGAAAGGAAUUAGAAAAAGAUAUAGGGGGAAGAUGAGAGGUAAGGCCAAGAAGAGAUGAUGAGAAAGGAGUGUGAGGGGAGGCUGAGAGAAGAUGUGAAGGCAGCCUGUGAGGAGAGGGUGCAAGGAAAGGAUGCGAGGGAUGAAGAAAAAACAUACAAUGUGAGGAGGGAUGGAUCAUGAGGAGUUAUGAGGAGAUGUGAAGAGAGGCUCACAUAAGAGAUGUGAGGUGUUUUAAAUAAAUCCAGCCAGUCCUUGCUUUUAUACACUGAAGUUCUGUCCACACAUGGAUAUAAUUUUUACUCAUCACUGUAGUUUGAUAAAGAUGAAAGGAAACAAAAAAUUGCAGCCUGUAGUUCAGAGGGAAAAUUGUAGUUUUUAACAUUUACUCUGCUCCCUUCAUAAGAGUAAUUUUUUUUUUCUAAAAAGAAUUCUAAAGUUCUUUAGGCACUCUGAUUUGGCCUCCAGAUGCCAUUGAAAUGUGUUUACAGAUGUGUGAUAAGACUUCCGGUGAGACACAACACACGUCUACUCAAUGAGAGAGGAGACAGAUGACAGUCCAAAGAGGGAUACCACAAAAAUCCAACUUGGAUUUUUGGGGUUACUUGCAGAAUUAUGGGUGAGGAGUUACUUGCAGAAGUGGAAAUGACUCGAAGACAGCUGCAUGUCCAAACCUCACUCCAGCAUGGGUGACAGAGACAGCUCAUGAUCUGGGAACCUGGAACACAGUCCACAGCCUGCAGGCAGCUCAGCCUGUCAGUACCUCAGUGGGCCUCGGAGUUCUCUUUGCACAUUGGCUUUUACUGUUUAGUCCAACAGGCAGGAGCCUGAUGAAUCUGUUCAGGGAUUGUGGGUUGGGGGAUGUUAUAUCCUGAAUGACACUCUUUAUUCGCCCUUUUAAAAGUAGAUAUAUUUCGGUGACUUUUGGAGAAGGACCCUGGUACCUCAGGGAUAUGCAAAAGGUUCCAGGUUGCUAUUGCCACUAGGGACAAGCAGAAGACAAACUCCAGCUGAUGUCAGAUUGAAGCUUCUCUUCCCUGCUCGAUUCCAGUUCCUUCCUCUCAGCUCACCUCCCUCUCACCUCCCCUCGCCUCCCUUCCUCCUCAGUGAAGGAAAGGGCUCCCAUGGAUAUACAUCUGCCUUGGCAUAUCAAUUUGCAGUGAAACUAAAUGCAUCUUCUCCUAGUGAGGCUAGACAAAGCAGCCCAGUUAGGCAAAAGGAAGCCAAAGGCAAGCAGCAGAGUUAGAGAUAGCCCCUACUUCGGCUUUUAUGUGUCCCACAUGAAGACCAAGUUAGACAUCUGUUACAUGUGUGUAGAAGGGCUUAGUCUGGCCCAUGAAUGCUCUGUGGUUGGUAGUUGAGUCUCUGUGAGCCCCUGUGGGCCCUGAUUAGUUUCUAUAAGUUUUCUUGCGGUGUUUUGACCUCUCUGGCUCCUGCAAUUCUUCCCCUCCUCCUUGUACAACAUUCCCCAAUCUCCAUCUAAUGUUUGGCUGUGGGUCUCUGCAUCUGUUUCCAUCAGCUGCUGAGUGAAGCCUCUCUACUGACAGUUAUGCUCGGCUCCUGUCUGCAAGUAUAAGAGAAUAAAUAUCAUUAACAGUGUCA